GUGGGGAAUAUUGGACAAUGGGCGAAAGCCUGAUCCAGCCAUGCCGCGUGAGUGAUGAAGGCCUUAGGGUUGUAAAGCUCUUUCAGUAGGGAAGAUAAUGACGGUACCUACAGAAGAAGCCCCGGCUAACUUCGUGCCAGCAGCCACGGUAAUACGAAGGGGGCUAGCGUUGUUCGGAUUUACUGGGCGUAAAGCGCACGUAGGCGGAUUGGUCAGUUAGAGGUGAAAUCCUGGAGCUCAACUCCAGAACUGCCUUUAAUACUGCCAGUCUAGAGUCCAGAAGAGGUGAGUGGAACUCCUAGUGUAGAGGUGGAAUUCGUAGAUAUUAGGAAGAACACCAGUGGCGAAGGCGGCUCACUGGUCUGGUACUGACGCUGAGGUGCGAAAGCGUGGGGAGCAAACAGGAUUAGAUACCCCUGUAGUCC
RNAcentral lists this ribosomal RNA (425 nucleotides) under uncultured bacterium. RNAcentral describes it as "partial 16S ribosomal RNA". It matches the Rfam family "Bacterial small subunit ribosomal RNA", at positions 354 to 796 of the family's 1533-position model. The record is from RNAcentral.